GAGCCGGGCAGUUGCUGGGGCAGAAGGGACUGGAGGAUGGGAUAGAAGGGCAAAGAUGGGGUGACUGGAGAUGAGACGCGGGGCCCAGCCCGCUGCCCCCCGCCGUCGCCAAUGCGGUCCUUUGUCCCUCCUUAGGCGACGUUCCGCUGUCCCCUGGAGCUCCCUUGGAGCGGCCCGCCGAAGAAGAGGAGGACGAAGAGGACGGCCAGGAGCCUGGGGGACUCGCCUUGCCGCCGCCGCCUCCUCCCCCGCCUCCGCCCCCGCCCCGCAGCCGGGAGCAGCGGCGGAACUACCAGCCGCGGUGGCGGGGCGAGUACCUGAUGGACUACGACGGCAGCCGGCGCGGCCUGGUGUGUAUGGUGUGCGGGGGCGCGCUGGCCACGCUCAAGAGCUGCAGAAACAACUAACCUUCAAGGAGUCAACCAGAUCUUCUACCAGAAAGAGACGAAUAAUGAGUUUCAGGGCCCUGUUGAUGUGCACCAUGGCAGCAUUCAUGUAAUUAUGGAAAGCUUCUGAGGACAGAGUAAUGUCUACGUCCAGACUUCAACUCACUUGAAUGGAUGGCCUUCUUCUGACUUCUGUACAGCUUGGAUGACGGACUUGUAGAUCCUGAAGCUGAUGGUGACAGAGAGAAGAGCCAGGAUGAGAGUCUUGCUCUGUCGCCAGGCUCGAGUGCAAUGGUGUGGUCUCGGCUCACUGCAAUCUCUGCCUCCCAGGUUCAAGCGAUUCUCCCACCUCAGCCUUCGAGUAGCUGACAUUACAGGUUGGUUGAACCCAAGGAUGCAGAACCUGCGGAUGCAGAGGACUGACUGUAUAAGAUUCUCUUGAUAGCUUCGAAGAAGCAAGCUACCAUGUUGUGAGAGGGCCAUGAGGUUAGCACCCGCAGGCAGCUUCUAGGAGCUGAGCAUGAUUUCCCCAGCUGACAUCCAGGGAGAAAGAAAGUGGGUAUCUCAUUCCACAACUUCCAGGAACUGAAUUCUGUCAACAACCAGCCAGCUUGG
RNAcentral lists this long non-coding RNA (1001 nucleotides) under Homo sapiens (human). RNAcentral describes it as "long non-coding RNA NONHSAT160399.1". Lineage: Eukaryota; Metazoa; Chordata; Mammalia; Primates; Hominidae. The record is from RNAcentral.